Clarias gariepinus (North African catfish) is the source of this 467-nucleotide long non-coding RNA. RefSeq lists it as uncharacterized. The record is from RefSeq and is a predicted model, not a curated record. Lineage: Eukaryota; Metazoa; Chordata; Actinopteri; Siluriformes; Clariidae. The transcript is spliced from 2 exons.
GUAAUGGAUGGCCUGGACAGUAUGCCAGGACACUUUAGGCACAAAGCAGGGUACACCCUGGACAGGGUGCCACUCCAUCACAGGGCACACACACAUGCACACACUAUGGGCAAUUUGGGAAUGCCAAAUUAGCCUAAUCUGCAUGUCUUUGGACUGUGGGAAGAAGCCGGAGUACAAGGAGGAGACCCACCAAGCACGGGGAGAACAUGCACACAGACCUGAGGCAGGAAUCAACUCACCGACCCUGGAGGUGUUUGUAGCUCCAUCACAAGCGAGUCACAGGCGUUCCUCACUGAUGUGAAGCAGGCAACAACUGUCUGUUAAAAGAUAAAACUUUGUCACAGGCAUUUCUAAGGAAAGUAAUGGUAGGCUCUGUCAUCAGUCUUUUAAGAGAAAAGUUGCCUCACACUGCUCUAAUGUUUGUCAAAUUCAUUAUGAGAAAGUACAGUAAAAAUAAUUCUGCUAUA